This 74-nucleotide transfer RNA is filed under the name Ignavibacteriaceae bacterium. Its description in RNAcentral is "tRNA-Arg". It matches the Rfam family "tRNA". From Rfam's summary of the family: Transfer RNA (tRNA) molecules are approximately 80 nucleotides in length. Their secondary structure includes four short double-helical elements and three loops (D, anti-codon, and T loops). Further hydrogen bonds mediate the characteristic L-shaped molecular structure. tRNAs have two regions of fundamental functional importance: the anti-codon, which is responsible for specific mRNA codon recognition, and the 3' end, to which the tRNAs corresponding amino acid is attached (by aminoacyl-tRNA synthetases). tRNAs cope with the degeneracy of the genetic code in two manners: having more than one tRNA (with a specific anti-codon) for a particular amino acid; and 'wobble' base-pairing, i.e. permitting non-standard base-pairing at the 3rd anti-codon position. The record is from RNAcentral. Lineage: Bacteria; Pseudomonadati; Ignavibacteriota; Ignavibacteria; Ignavibacteriales; Ignavibacteriaceae.
GCGCCAAUAGCUCAAUUGGAUAGAGCACCUGACUUCGGAUCAGGCGGUUAAGAGUUCGAGUCUCUUUUGGCGCA